RNAcentral lists this ribosomal RNA (383 nucleotides) under uncultured eukaryote. RNAcentral describes it as "partial 18S ribosomal RNA". It matches the Rfam family "Eukaryotic small subunit ribosomal RNA", at positions 592 to 976 of the family's 1831-position model. The record is from RNAcentral.
CAAUAGCGUAUAUUAAAGUUGUUGCAGUUAAAAAGCUCGUAGUUGGAUUUCUGGUGGGAGCGAUCGGUCUGGCGCUUAGCGCGAGUACUUGCAUCGUCUCCGGCCAUCCUUGGGGAGAGUCUGUCUGGCAUUAAGUUGUCGGGCAGAGGAUCCUCAUCGUUUACUGUGAAAAAAUUAGAGUGUUCAAAGCAGGCGUAUGCCGUUGAAUAUAUUAGCAUGGAAUAAUAAGAUAGGACUUUGGUACUAUUUUGUUGGUUUGCGCACCAAAGUAAUGAUUAAUAGGGACAGUUGGGGGUAUUCGUAUUCCGUUGUCAGAGGUGAAAUUCUUGGAUUUACGGAAGACGAACUACUGCGAAAGCAUUUACCAAGGAUGUUUUCAUUAA